UUGCACCCUGUAUAUAUUACAUUAUAUUUUAUCUGUUUUCAGUUUGGUUUUUACGUGUGUAUUAUGUGCUAAUUGUACUAUUCUUCUGGAAAAGAAUUCGUUACUAUGAUGACAGCUAAAUAGCCAGCGAAUCACGGAAGGAUUGGAAGAGCAUGGACAAUUUUUUUAAUAUCCUGUGGAUGAAAAUCUUAUAAGAGAUUAUGUAUGUAAGCGAGAAAGAAAGACAGAGAGUGUUGAGAUGAGAGAAAGACAGACAACAGUGAGAAUGAAAGCAAGAGACAGAAAAAAAAA
Molecule: long non-coding RNA, 291 nt
Filed under: Octopus sinensis (East Asian common octopus)
Lineage: Eukaryota; Metazoa; Mollusca; Cephalopoda; Octopoda; Octopodidae
Description: uncharacterized LOC118762062, transcript variant X1
Source: RNAcentral